RNAcentral lists this ribosomal RNA (465 nucleotides) under uncultured Klebsiella sp. RNAcentral's name for it is "bacterial SSU rRNA". It matches the Rfam family "Bacterial small subunit ribosomal RNA", at positions 338 to 795 of the family's 1533-position model. The record is from RNAcentral. Lineage: Bacteria; Pseudomonadati; Pseudomonadota; Gammaproteobacteria; Enterobacterales; Enterobacteriaceae.
CCUACGGGUGGCUGCAGUGGGGAAUAUUGCACAAUGGGCGCGAGCCUGAUGCAGCCAUGCCGCGUGUGUGAAGAAGGCCUUCGGGUUGUAAAGCACUUUCAGCGGGGAGGAAGGCGGUGAGGUAAAUAACCUCAUCGAUUGACGUUACCCGCAGAAGAAGCACCGGCUAACUCCGUGCCAGCAGCCGCGGUAAUACGGAGGGUGCAAGCGUUAAUCGGAAUUACUGGGCGUAAAGCGCACGCAGGCGGUCUGUCAAGUCGGAUGUGAAAUCCCCGGGCUCAACCUGGGAACUGCAUUCGAAACUGGCAGGCUAGAGUCUUGUAGAGGGGGGUAGAAUUCCAGGUGUAGCGGUGAAAUGCGUAGAGAUCUGGAGGAAUACCGGUGGCGAAGGCGGCCCCCUGGACAAAGACUGACGCUCAGGUGCGAAAGCGUGGGGAGCAAACAGGAUUAGAUACCCUUGUAGUC